This 234-nucleotide unclassified non-coding RNA is filed under the name Capnodiales sp. RNAcentral's name for it is "partial contains 5.8S ribosomal RNA, internal transcribed spacer 2, and large subunit ribosomal RNA". The record is from RNAcentral. Lineage: Eukaryota; Fungi; Ascomycota; Dothideomycetes; Capnodiales.
CGCACAUCGCGCCCUUUGGCAUUCCGAGGGGCAUGCCUGUUCGAGCGUCAUUACACCACUCAAGCCUGGCUUGGUAUUGGGCGGCGGGAUCCCCCGCGCCUCCAUUUCGCCGGCUGGACGACCCGAAUCUCAGCGUCGUGGCAUUAAAUUCGCCGACGAGGAGGGUCUUCCGCGCCGUUAAAACUUCUCCUCAAGGUUGACCUCGGAUCAGGUAGGGAUACCCGCUGAACUUAA